Molecule: long non-coding RNA, 7029 nt
Organism: Athalia rosae (coleseed sawfly)
Lineage: Eukaryota; Metazoa; Arthropoda; Insecta; Hymenoptera; Athaliidae
Exons: 4
Source: RefSeq, a predicted model, not a curated record
UUUCAAUUCCGCGUAGAUGUUUCUCUUUUUUUUACAUGAGCUAGGGACGAAACGUUAGGUUUGAAUAUAUUUCUGUAACCGCCGUUCAUUCCAUGUGACAAAAUCUAUCGUUCGAGGCGAACGCCGUUACAUGUAGAAGAAAAACUCGAGCAAACGAAAGAAAAUUAGAACUUCCGUACGAACAAUGGCCAACGAGUGUCUGCAGCUUCUUUCUGCUCCGAGCGUAUCAUCAUUUCCUUCAUUCACCGCGCUGACGAAAGUCGUUCCCGUAGACUUUUCGAUGGUUCCCUACGUUUUGACGGAUAUUGCCGAGGAUGGGAAGAGGGAAAAAAAAUUUUCUGAAUAAGUAAGAUCUUCUUUCCGAAAAUCCUGCAAAAACUGGGUCGUGCGUCAAGGAGUGGAUCAGAACCGUCGGCUACUUAAUUACAUGGAUCGUGGACUGAACUUGAGGAACCUAAUCAAAAAGUGGAAAACCAAGAAAGGUAUAGCAAACGAAUACGGAAAAGAAGUAUAGGAGCAGUCAAAAAUUUCGAUGAAAUACGUGGAAACCGAAUGAUUCAUCCGCCCAACUUCGAAUGCGGAUUCCAUCACAGUCGAGAUUCUAUUCGUGAUCGAUUCAAGCCCGGAUAGAAAUUGUAUUGUUACGACGAGAAGAGUUACUCCAAGGACGAGCCGCAGAUAGACCCGAAUAAUUUCAUUCUUAGGAGGCAGCUGACUCACUCAGGUAAUGGUCUGUAUUAUCAACCGUAUUUGCUGGUGGCAAUUAUGGACGUAUGAUAACCGGGAUUCGACCACCGCCGUACAACCCUCCAACUGAAGUGUAUUUUAACCGAGUAAAUCUGCUUCUUAUCUGUCGCGUAGUUCACUUGCUUAUUGAUUUACAACGAGGAUUAUCGGGCCAAGCCAAGGUUUCAGACAGCCCAGGGGCCCUGAAAAAACCCACCUCUCGGACAAGAGCGUUUUAUAACGUUGAAAGAUAAAUUAUGGGCUCUUAAAUCGAUUUUGUUCCACAUCGCGUACACGUCUAAAACACGAGCAGAAAUGCGCCCGGCUAAUGUCACAGCUAAUGCUCUCCUUCCUUUCGACUCGUUCUUCCAUAACUCCGCAGAUUAAUUUUUAUAAAACCGAAAUGUCAUUUUAUCCGUCGUAAUUUCCAUUGAUUGGGCAGGAAACGGAUGAGAAAUGACGAGCCAUUCGGCUGUCCAGCCAACUUUGAUAAAAGUAAAAAAGAGAACUGUUCGAAGCCAGCAGAGUUAACUCGAUUCGGAUGGUGAUCAAUUAUCACGAUAGGUGCACGGUAGCGUUUAGCUUUUCAACGUUGAUAAAGAAAUAUAAAAACUUGUCAUCCUCCGUCAUGCACCGUCAUGCACCGUCUGCACUUCGUUAUACCUACGUUGAGAUGACUCGUACGUUAACGGUCGAUCGGAAUCCUAUAGCUUUGGAUAAUGGGGGUCCAACAUAGAUCGCCGUUCUGUGAGUUCGUUGCUUCGCUGCGCGAUAGACGGCGGACCAACUCAUCGUUUGCAUGAAUAUUUGCAGGGCUGUUAUGAGCGGAUCUAGAUCGCUUAUAUCGCUUAUCGGCGAUACUCGUAGGACUGUCGCACCUCAUGUAUUUCAUAUUGAAACAUUCUACCGUGUGAACAAUGUGCACCACGGUUGUUAGAACAAUGUAUCAUGUAGGAAAGAGAAAAUUGAAUUUUUUCACGCCAUUCCGCAAGCUCCUGAUUUCCAAGUGAUAUAUCCAGCGCUUUGGAAAGACUCGUACGUACGUGAUCGUCGCGCCAACUGCGCUGGAAGUAUGUGAUUCUCGUUUUUUUUUUCUUUUGCUCUUCGAGACAAGAGAACACUGACUGAUAUUCGACAAAUACGGCAACCGUCGUUAUAAUCCGUGCGACAAGAAGAGACGUAAAUUACUUUGUGAGAGUGAAGAAAUGUGAGGACGACUACGAAGCCUUCUGCACUCCCAAGGUGUCUUAGUCGGUACGAAAUAAGAGAUAUUAACGAGUCUAUUCGACUUCGGAUGAUUCUGAUGACGCUUUCACAGAGUGAAUUCGGAAUGACUGUACGUGCUAUUAAGGAAACUCCUGAAGGAGUUGAAUCUCCGAUACGUAUAUCGAAGGAUUGAGUCGAGUGAUCGGAGCGAGGUCACGUAAUUAAUUUAAUAAGGAAAACGAUAAAAUCGGGGCUAGGUUUAGGAUCGUAUUAUACAGCCCCGAACGGGAAUCUUCUUAGCUUUAUCCCCUUGGCAGGUAAAAGACGUAGCGUGAGAGUAAAUGAAACGAACGGAUAUGAGAUAUAUAUGUAUAUUUUUUUUUUUUUGUUUCUGUCUUUCCUUUUUUUUUCAUUAUGGUCUCAAGCAAGAGUAAAGGGAAUUGACUAUCGUCGUGAGAUAAUCUGAUUCUUACUCUCAGUAAAAGUAAAUUGCUUCGCGCCGUAUAAAUCUAGAUGUGUCCAGCGAUUGGUCUUCUCAAUACUACAGUAACUCGAUUCCACGAAUAGAGAUAUAUAUGUACUCUCUCGCGAGAACCAGAGUUCUGAGAAAUAAUCCAAAUAGGAAUUUGCGCAUAGCAACGGAGAACUAUGUACGAGCUAUAUCCGAUAUAUAUAGUGUCGCCUGGAAAUUUUUGUCAAUUGAAAUUGACCCUGGAUAAGAUUCAUUCACACGUGCAGGGGCAUCGAAUCAUUCGGGGUGAGUCGUACUCGUAAACACGUUACUGCGAUGUAAAAGUAAAAGAAAAAAAAUAAAUAAAUAAUAUUUGUUGAUAAUUCUGCUGUGAUUUUGAAGUUCAAAACUUUUACUACCGGGAGCAAAGUUUAUCCAUCAAUCUCAGAAUAGCGCUCGCCUUCGCCUCGGUAUUUCUGGGCUCGCAUAGUUUUUUCGCUAUUUUAUUUUUAUUCUUUCCUAUCUCAGAUUUCUCGAAACCAUAGUGUAAUAGCAUAAAAUCUUUUGUAUUUCUAAGGAUCAAUUUCUCUUCAUUUGAUGCAACUAAUUUUUAUAAAAGGAAUAAAAUUCCGAAGUUUGUGAAUCAGGAAAUACGAAUACAUAGAGUAGAUGUUGAAAAACAAGAAAAAAAAAAAAAAAACAUCGCAUCCGAAAGAUAGUUUACCAAAGUUGUCCCACUUGUUUAGAAUGGUAGGUGUACACGGUAUAAGCUUCUAAUCCAAGAAGCUACGCGGUAUGCGAAUUGCAUAUUGCAUUUUCCCUCUGCCUGUCGCCACCCGAAACCACCCGAUUAUGUAUGACAAACCACCACACAACAUCGCGUAUGCGGUUGCUCCGUUAAUACCCAGCCUUGAUGUCAGCAGAACUGAAGGAGUUUACGUAUAGCAUUUCACUCGAAGAACAAUGAAAGCAGGUACUCGCAAUACGCUUUUUUCGUUCCUUGCACUAGCUGAUGAGAAAAAGAAAAAAAAAAGAAAAAAAGAGAAAAAUCAAAAACACCGAAUCACAUUUCGAGCAACGAACGGAGCUCGGUCGAUCAAUUUCGUACUAUCUCGCGCAUUCGCGUUCGUUUAUUCAUUCGUCUAACCAUUGAAAACUGAAUGGGUGACUGGCAUCAUUAGCGUAUUGUAUAAUUAUAUACACGAAUAGCGCCGACGUCGAACGAGCUUUAAAAGCUACAAAAUAUCGCGAAUGACUUGAUCGAGGUUCGAAAAUUGAUGACCAACCGCACGCCGGCAGAACUUCCAAAUCAUGAAUUAGCGAAAAAGUGAAAAUCCAUACUCGGAUCAGAGAAUUAAUUGAAAUUUAUUUGGAGGUAAAAUUACUCAACAUAACGUUCAUUGAUUACACCUGUGCGACGAUACAUCCUCUGGAAUAAAAGGAGCGUAACCGACGAUGAACCAUUAGUAUUUGUCUGAAGGAAUUUGCAACAAUGCCGUUUCCUUCUCUCGACGUUUCAUUUUUUAUCUCUUUCUGUUAUUCUGUUAUUUGCUAUAACUAAUAAAAGUUGUUUUUCGAGUAGUUGGAGACAUCCGACAGUCGUUCUUAAUGCGAAAGAAGAAAAUUUCCACCGAUAAAUGAAACGCUCGUAAGUGAGACUGUGACGCGAUAUCGUUGGACUCGAUGGUAGUCGAUUAGCGUAACGAAUAUAGCACGGGCAUUUCCAUCGAAAGGUACGUCGUAGUGGCGAUCGUUUUCUACCUGCAGUUAUUCGUGUUCGUAUUCACCCUCCAAAUAAUACGAAAAAGUGCGAACGACGAUCACGACUGGCGGUCGCCUGCGAAGGGACAGCCCUACUACUACAACCUUGUACGAGCCUGCAGUGAACUCUGCAUGGGCGCAGCUAUGGAUUGAACUCACAACACCCAUAUUCCUAAUUUUUAUCCUCCAUCCUAUUUAUCUGUACUUUUCAAAGGUCGACUAUCCCGCGAGAUUUUAUUUUCGAGAGAAGAAGAAAAAAAAAAAACAAUUUCAUAAUCCUUUCCUUUGAAGUCCCCCAAAAGAUUUGGUAGGAUAUCGAGUGAUGGGACACAAUAUAGGUGCCUAGAUACAUAAAUGUGGUGGGCAAAAGAUCGCGGUCGCACACCAGAGGAGAUUCAUAAGUUCAACGAAAUGGUUGAGUAGGGGGGUUCGUAUAGUGACAGACGGCGUACGACGUCGGUUUCGUGACACGUGGCUGCCUGAGAAGCUCGAUGAGUAAGCUUUGGCAGUACCGCCCUGAAAGAAACUACGACGUCUUAUUGCCUUCGCUAAGUAAGUCCUUUUCAGAAAAUUGCUGUAGCAACACUUCCCAGUCUCUCGUGAGAUGAGGCAAAAAAAAAGGAAUCUCGACUAUAAGUAGCAAGGGGAAAAGCAACGAAAAUUUCAUAAAUACAAAAAAAAAAAAAUGGAAGAUGACAUACGACGGAGAGAAAAGAGCGACAAAAUGUUCAACGGAUUUCGAUGUAAUAUUGACGCGAAAAUUAGAAAAAAUUUGAAAUAAAAACAGGAAAGGUAUGAGAAAAAAAAAAUAAUUUCACAUCGCAUAAAAGAGCAAGAGCGGCGGGGGCAAACCGAGCGAAAUAAACAGACGCCGAAGAAACGCGGCAGGCACGAACGUGCAAGAUUGUAAGAUGUGCCCCUUGUAAGGUAAGCGUGAGAAGCCAGAAAUGUAGCUUCAGAAGCCAAAGGAAACUCUGUGCUGUAUAGCGAAAACGUUCCAAACCAAGUCUUGUGUGCCAUGAGCUUUCACCGUAUUCCGUCGCCUCUUGCCUUGGCAACCAACCUGGUGAUAUUUUACAUCCCAGUAAACGCCCGUUCCUUUCAACCCCGCGGACCCCCUCCCAAUACCUUCGCCCUCGGCUUCUGCUAACGCCGGCGAAGCUGCCCGCAACGAAUAAAAUGGGGUAUACGUUGAAUGUACGAGGCGAGUAGAAAAAUCAUUACGGCUGAUGACACCUGCUUAAUCAAAUAUCCCCAAAAUUUUUUCAGAUAGUCACGCCACCCGAGGUGAUACAACUUUCAUUUUAUCUUUGUUCCGAAUUUAUACUCAUCUGAAGAAAAAUAUCCGCGCAUCCGAACCGUUUAAUCUCAAAAUACGAGACAGCGCAGGGAGAGUUUCGGACAAAUACAAUUUAAGAUAUUAGCUAUGUAUUUCGCGUAAAACGUAGCUCGUGGAAAAUGAAAAAAUUCUACUUCUCGAAUAUCGUAAGUUAUGCGGUGAAAAUAUUCCCCCUUACCGUGCAAAAAAAAAAAAAAAAAGAAAAAGUGAACGAAAAUUGAGGAUGGGGUGGUUUUGAAUCUCAUAGAAAAUUUUCACGUUCGGUUUAUGUUAACGUAUCCCCCGUGAUCUCGGUAUACCUAGGGGAUAGAUACAUGUACGUGAGUUACUUGUUUGAAUCGGAUUUAAAUCAAUGUCCAGUCGAAGCGUGGAGCACUGUAAGGUUUAUCGGCCUAGCUAUACACGUGUACCGAAAACCCAUCCUAGAAUUUCCUGCGAGAGCGUCGGGAAUUGCUGUCUAGACUCAAGACAAUGCGGCUGUUUUAUUUAUUCAAAUUUAUAUCGAGGCACUAGCCAGCCGGCUCCGGGCUUUUCAGCUUCCUUGUUUCUUCCCGCCAGAGACCCUUUCCCGCAGAACUCCGGUAUACGUAUACCACACUUAAGACUAAAACGGGACCAGCCACACCAGCUGCCAGAGAAACUGAGCGCUGAGUUUCUUAGACAUUGUGGCGGCGUAUCCCUAUACGUACCUGUAUGUAAGGUUACAGUUGGGUCGAGAUGAAAUUCGGUCCAGGGGUACCGCCAGCCAGCUCGCAGGGCGUCUUCGGGGAUUCUGAAAUAUGAUUCCGUAACGUUAUUCCCAUAAAAUACUAGCAAAGGCUCGGCUAUACAUCCGUUCACCGGAGGAGCUCGUUCAGUUCCUCCACCUGGUCGGUAGAUACUCGUAAGGUAUGAACAUACAUUCCUACUUUAUAUGUACAUAGGACAUACGUAUACGCUGCGCACAUACACACGGUAUUAUGUUUCACCGUCACGGUGUCGGCGUACCAAGGCGUCACGUAACGCCAUUUUCAUUCGGUAUAGGUCUAGUCUACGUUUUGCAAAAAGGAAAUGCAUCCUAAGAUUUAUAUUAUAUUCAUUUUUCAUAAUUUUCGCCGAUUUUCGCAGUGAUUCAAUGUCUCGGCUAUCAAAAGGACGCCCACGAUUGAAAGUACUCGAAUAAACUAUUCGCACCGUUCGUGUCGGGUAUGGCUGUACAGAUAUUUGUUUUGCCAUUUUCGAUUUUGUUUGUUUUUUUUUUUGUUUGUUUUUUUUUUCUCAUUUAAUCCCUUCCGUUUGUUUGAGCGUCGUGAAAUUUCAGGCAUCUCAUCUCGUCGGAUUCCAUUCGAUUGAAUUCCGUUCUAUUUCAGAGUAAAAGACAACGCUAUGUCAAAUCGGUUUAUCCAAUUUCCAUAGAUGUCGGGUGGGAAGAUGUCUUAUAAGAGAUUACCUUUGACGUGUGUCCUUUUUUUUCUCGCGCUGGCCGAGAGCUGGAUUACGUAUUACUGAGCCGUCCUGUAGCAUUUGCUUUCUACAUCGUCUGAUAAUAAAAAAUCAUUCAUAUUCU